AGGACGAACGCUGGCGGCGUGCUUAACACAUGCAAGUCGAGCGGAAAGGCCCUUCGGGGUACUCGAGCGGCGAACGGGUGAGUAACACGUGAGCAACCUGCCCUUAGCUUCGGGAUAGCUCCGGGAAACCGGAAUUAAUACCGAAUACGACUGCGGCUGACAUCAGCCACGGUGGAAAGUUUUUCGGCUAGGGAUGGACUCGCGGCCUAUCAGCUUGUUGGCGGGUAACGCCCACCAAGGCGACGACGGAUA
This 252-nucleotide ribosomal RNA is filed under the name uncultured bacterium. RNAcentral's name for it is "partial small subunit ribosomal RNA". It matches the Rfam family "Bacterial small subunit ribosomal RNA", at positions 26 to 285 of the family's 1533-position model. The record is from RNAcentral.